GGUUUGGAGAGCUUCUGGGUUUUGAAUACGUCUACUUGCUGGGAGCGUGGCACACCUCAAACUCCGUGGAGACAGAAGCUCUGCUCUCUGUGCACCCUAACAGAGCUUGCCUGUGUACCUCUUCGUGUGGCUGGCGCCCCAUUGGUAUCUGCAGAGGACUGGAGAAUUGUUUGCUGGGGGAAUCCACAAGCUUGCCCUCAGAAGUGUCCUGCUGUUGUGGGUAAAAACAGAAUUCCUCAAGUCGGAUUUUCUAGGGAGCAGGAAGACACUGGGCUCAGAAUGGCACUUGGGAGAACAAGUAUGAAGUCAUCAUGCCUCCUGUUUACAGGACACUGAGCUUUGGUUUUUCCAGUGGUCAUGUAUGGAUGUGAGAGUUGCACUAUAAAGAAAGCUGAGUGCCAGAGAAUUGAUGCUUUUGAAUUGUGGUGUUGGAGAGGACUCUUGAGAAUCCCUUGGACUGCAAGGAGAUCCAACCAGUCCAUUCUGAAGGAGAUCAGCCCUGGGAUUUCUUUGGAAGAACUGAUGCUAAAGCUGAAACUCCAGUACUUUGGCCACCUGAUGCGAAGAACUACCUCCUUGGAAAAGACCCUGAUACUGGGAAAGAUUGAAGCAGGGAGGAGAAGGGGAUGACAGAGGAUUAGAUGUUUGGGUGGCAUCACCAACUCAAUGGACAUGAGCUUGAGUAAGCUUCGGGAGUUGGUGUGGACAGGGAAGCCUGGUGUGAUGCAGUCCAUGGGGUCUCAAAGAGUUGAACACGACUGAGCGACUGAACUGAAUUGAACUGAGCUCCCAAGCAGUAGGGGUGGAUCCAAGGAAGUCUGCUGGGGACAGGUCCCCUUCUCCUCUGGGGUCAGUGUGCCUGGGAACCAAGCUGAAAAGUGGAUCCUGUUUCCUCAGGACAACCCUCUGGGUCAGGGUUUGUCAUCAAGGCAAGGCUGCCAGAGGAACAGAGAUCUCAAAACCACUCACCC
Molecule: long non-coding RNA, 971 nt
Organism: Bos taurus (domestic cattle)
Lineage: Eukaryota; Metazoa; Chordata; Mammalia; Artiodactyla; Bovidae
Source: Ensembl